This is a long non-coding RNA of Eriocheir sinensis (Chinese mitten crab), 1745 nucleotides long. RefSeq lists it as uncharacterized. NCBI's taxonomy places the organism in Eukaryota, Metazoa, Arthropoda, Malacostraca, Decapoda, Varunidae. The record is from RefSeq and is a predicted model, not a curated record. The transcript is spliced from 3 exons.
AGAGGACCAUCUGUAGGGGCUUCACUUUCUUCGGUGCCUUCGUCGGUACAACAUGGCUCUCUUUAGACUGGUCGUAGCGGCGGCGGUAUUUCUGACCUUGACGGAGGCCUAUCCACGUUACAUUCUUGUCCCCCUCGAGGACCUGAGCUUCGUCGACAACACCCACACCAGACACGCCCGCUCGCUGCGUCGUCCCUCUUACGCCAACCCCCGCGCGGACCACGCCUUGCAGUACGCUGAGCCCCUUCCGCUGAGCCCUGCGCGCCACAAGAUUCACGAGGAGAGAGAUAACGAGCCGCUCCUGACUGAGGCUUCCGACCCGUACCACAGUCACGUCGGCGGGUACGGGCAGAAUGACCACGUGGACUAUGGGGCAUACACGGGUGGGUACGGCGCCUUCGGGUGGUACUCUGAUCAUCCUGUGUGUAUAAACUGUGGGCACUACCAUUAAGAACCCAUUGAAUCCCCUUAGUUCCUCUUAAACCUGUUCCAACCCUUUAUGCUGAGACUCGAUCCCAUUAUUCCAAGCUCGGAAGAUGCAAAGUUUCUAUCUGAUCCGACCUUCCCCUUCCUCAAUUCCUCCCUCCCCUUGAAGUCAAUCCCCAUAACUUAAACCUCAACCUGGAUCUUCCCCAUAACUUAAACCUCAAUCUCUUCCCUUAAACCAUUUUCUUCGAGGAUUUUGAGGCCCGUUACCUCCCCCUCCCUCUUCCUCAAUUCUUCCCCUCCCUUGUAGUCAAUCCCCUUAACUUAACCCUCAAUCUCUUCCCCAUUAGCCCUUUUUUUCGAGGUUUCUGAGUCACGUUAGCUCCCCCUCCUUCUUCCCCAAUUAAUCCCCUCCCCUUGAAGUCAAUCCCCAUAACUUAAACCUCAACCUGGCUCUUCCCCAUAACUUAAACCUCAACCUGACUCUUCCCCAUAACUUAAACCACAAUCUCUUCCCCUUAAACCCUUUUCUUCGAGGUUUUUGAGUCACAUUACCUCCCCCUCCCUCUUCCCCAAUUAAUCCCCUCCCCUUGAAGUCAAUCCCCUUAACUUAACCCUCAACCUCUUCCCCAUUAGCCCUUUUUUUCGAGGUUUUUGAGUCACGUUAUCUCCCCCUCCCAUUUCCUCAAUUCCUCCCCUCCCCUUGUAGUCAAUCCCCAUAACUUAAACCUCAAUCUCUUCCCCAUAACCCCUUUUUUUCGAGGUUUCUGAGUCCCGUUACCUCCCCCUCCCUCUUCACCGGUUCCCCCUCUUCCUCCCCUCCCUUUUCAGUCACUCCCAAGAUUUAGAUAUCAAGUUCGAGUUUUUUUGAGACAUGUCCCAUUUCCUUCCCCUGAACCAUUCACUCCCCUCCCCUCCAUCCCCUCCUCCUCUAGUUCUUCCCCAUUAUAAAAACCCGUAGCCCAUAUACCCCAUGACUUCAAGAGCUAUAGAGGACGUGCAGACAGACCCACCUAAUCCAGCACGGCUACACCCAUUCAAUAGAUUAUCUUGAGACUCCCUUCCCCUCCCUCCCUCCUUCUUCCCAUCCCGAUAUGGCCUCGCCCGGUCAUGAUGAAAUACCAGAUCUAGUCCGUUGGUAGUGUUUUGUUGUGUUCUUUCGUUCGUGUUACAUAGGAAGUAGCUGUUUCAUCUUUCCGUAUAGUGUGUUUUUUAAGCGUUCAUCACGUUUUUGUUGUUUUCUUGUUCUUGCUGCUGUUGUUGUUGUUGUUGAUUUUGUAACGUGUGUGAGUUUAUGAAUAAAGUGAGUGUGUAUUUAU